GUGUCAGCAGCCGCGGUAAUACGAAGGGGGCUAGCGUUGCUCGGAACCACUGGGCGUAAAGCGCACGUAGGCGGACUCUUAAGUCGGGGGUGAAAUCCUGGAGCUCAACUCCAGAACUGCCUUCGAUACUGGGAGCCUUCGAGUUCGGGAGAGGUGAGUGGAACUGCGAGUGUAGAGGUGAAAUGCGUAGAUAUCUGGAGGAACACCGGUGGCGAAGGCGGCAUUCUGGACCACAACUGACACUGAGAGACGAAAGCCAGGGGAGCAAACGGGAUUAGAAACCCUUGUAGUCC
RNAcentral lists this ribosomal RNA (293 nucleotides) under uncultured bacterium. RNAcentral describes it as "partial 16S ribosomal RNA". It matches the Rfam family "Bacterial small subunit ribosomal RNA", at positions 505 to 796 of the family's 1533-position model. The record is from RNAcentral.